GGUUAAGCGACUAAGCGUACACGGUGGAUGCCCUGGCAGUCAGAGGCGAUGAAGGGCGUGCUAAUCUGCGAUAAGCGCCGGUAAGGUGAUAUGAACCGUUAUAACCGGCGAUACCCGAAUGGGGAAACCCAGUGUGACUCGUCACACUAUCAUUAACUGAAUCCAUAGGUUAAUGAGGCGAACCGGGGGAACUGAAACAUCUAAGUACCCCGAGGAAAAGAAAUCAACCGAGAUUCCCCCAGUAGCGGCGAGCGAACGGGGAGGAGCCCAGAGCCUGAAUCAGCAUGUGUGUUAGUGGAAGCGUCUGGAAAGGCGCGCGAUACAGGGUGACAGCCCCGUACACAAAAGCGCAUGUGCUGUGAGCUCGAUGAGUAGGGCGGGACACGUGGUAUCCUGUCUGAAUAUGGGGGGACCAUCCUCCAAGGCUAAAUACUCCUGACUGACCGAUAGUGAACCAGUACCGUGAGGGAAAGGCGAAAAGAACCCCGGCGAGGGGAGUGAAAAAGAACCUGAAACCGUGUACGUACAAGCAGUGGGAGCACCCUUCGGGGUGUGACUGCGUACCUUUUGUAUAAUGGGUCAGCGACUUAUAUUCUGUAGCAAGGUUAACCGAAUAGGGGAGCCGGAGGGAAACCGAGUCUUAAUUGG
This 648-nucleotide ribosomal RNA is filed under the name Salmonella enterica. RNAcentral's name for it is "partial 23S ribosomal RNA". It matches the Rfam family "Bacterial large subunit ribosomal RNA", at positions 1 to 691 of the family's 2925-position model. The record is from RNAcentral. Lineage: Bacteria; Pseudomonadati; Pseudomonadota; Gammaproteobacteria; Enterobacterales; Enterobacteriaceae.